ACAAAACCUGGACCUGUACCUUCCCUGGUCCAGUCCCUGGUCACCCUGGAGUACCGGAUACCCACCACAGUGCCACAGACCAUCGGCGGAACACCAGGGCAAGUGUACUAGUACAACAUGCAGUGCCACGACAGUCAGCGGCAGAUGACGGGAGAUUUUGGAGGCAAAUGACGCCAUGUUUGCCCGGUCGCGCUGCGAGGGCGGCCCCACAAUUCUCACCCUCGCCGCCAUAGAGACUUAAGGCAGCUGUGGAUAUCCUGUUAUAAAAUCCCCUGAGAAGAAGCUCCCAAAGAGCAG
Long non-coding RNA from Macrosteles quadrilineatus (aster leafhopper), 297 nucleotides. RefSeq lists it as uncharacterized. The record is from RefSeq and is a predicted model, not a curated record. Lineage: Eukaryota; Metazoa; Arthropoda; Insecta; Hemiptera; Cicadellidae. The transcript is spliced from 3 exons.